Molecule: ribosomal RNA, 429 nt
Filed under: Bacteroidota bacterium
Lineage: Bacteria; Pseudomonadati; Bacteroidota
Description: Bacteroidetes bacterium partial 16S ribosomal RNA
Rfam family: Bacterial small subunit ribosomal RNA
Source: RNAcentral
UAGGGAAUCUUCGGCAAUGGGGGGAACCCUGACCGAGCAACGCCGCGUGAGUGAAGAAGGUUUUCGGAUCGUAAAGCUCUGUUGUUAAGGAAGAACGAGUGUGAGAAUGGAAAGUUCAUACUGUGACGGUACUUAACCAGAAAGGGACGGCUAACUACGUGCCAGCAGCCGCGGUAAUACGUAGGUCCCGAGCGUUGUCCGGAUUUAUUGGGCGUAAAGCGAGCGCAGGCGGUUAGAUAAGUCUGAAGAUAAAGGCAGUGGCUCAACCAUUGUAGGCUUUGGAAGCUGUUUAACUUGAGUGCAGAAGGGGGGGGAGGAAUUCCAUGUGUAGCGGAGAAAUGCGUAGAUAUAUGGAGGAACACCGGUGGCGAAGGCGGCUCUCUGGGAUGUAACUGACGCUGAGGCUCGAAAGCGUGGGGAGCGAACAGG